This 747-nucleotide ribosomal RNA is filed under the name uncultured prokaryote. Its description in RNAcentral is "bacterial SSU rRNA". It matches the Rfam family "Bacterial small subunit ribosomal RNA", at positions 720 to 1482 of the family's 1533-position model. The record is from RNAcentral.
GGCAGCUUGCUGGACUGUAACUGACGCUGAGGCANGAAAGCGUGGGGAUCAANCAGGAUUAGAUNCNNGGUAGUCCACGCCGUAAACGAUGAAUGCUAGCUGUUAGCGAUAUACUGUUAGCGGCACAGAGAAAUCGUUAAGCAUUCCACCUGGGGAGUACGCCGGCAACGGUGAAACUCAAAGGAAUUGACGGGGGCCCGCACAAGCGGAGGAACAUGUGGUUUAAUUCGAUGAUACGCGAGGAACCUUACCUGGGCUUAAAUUGCAGUGGAAUAACGUGGAAACAUGUUAGCCUUCGGGCCGCUGUGAAGGUGCUGCAUGGUUGUCGUCAGCUCGUGCCGUGAGGUGUCGGCUUAAGUGCCAUAACGAGCGCAACCCUCAUCGAUAGUUACUAACAGGUUAAGCUGAGGACUCUAUCGAGACUGCCGACGUAAGUCGUGAGGAAGGUGGGGAUGACGUCAAAUCAGCACGGCCCUUACGUCCAGGGCUACACACGUGUUACAAUGGGGGGUACAAAGGGCAGCUACCUGGCGACAGGAUGCUAAUCUCAAAAACCUCUCUCAGUUCGGAUUGGAGUCUGCAACCCGACUCCAUGAAGCUGGAUUCGCUAGUAAUCGCGCAUCAGCCACGGCGCGGUGAAUACGUUCCCGGGCCUUGUACACACCGCCCGUCAAGCCAUGGGAGCCGGGGGGACCUGAAGUAUGCAACCGUAAGGAGCGUCCUAGGGUAAAACUGGUGACUGGGGCU